RNAcentral lists this ribosomal RNA (239 nucleotides) under uncultured bacterium. Its description in RNAcentral is "partial 16S ribosomal RNA". It matches the Rfam family "Bacterial small subunit ribosomal RNA", at positions 114 to 353 of the family's 1533-position model. The record is from RNAcentral.
CACGUAUCAACCUGCCGAUGACUCGGGGAUAGCCUUUCGAAAGAAAGAUUAAUACCCGAUGGCAUAGUUCUUCCGCAUGGUGGAACUAUUAAAGAAUUUCGGUCAUCGAUGGGGAUGCGUUCCAUUAGGUUGUUGGCGGGGUAACGGCCCACCAAGCCUUCGAUGGAUAGGGGUUCUGAGAGGAAGGUCCCCCACAUUGGAACUGAGACACGGUCCAAACUCCUACGGGAGGCAGCAUG